UACCGCCGGUUGGCCGAAAAACGAACGUGCACCGCGACACGAUUACAGCGUACGCUGCACGUUGCAUCACAAGAGCGUACACCGGUGAAGGUCACGCGCUCCAAAACUCACGGUUACCGAAGUACGAAUACAUCUAGGCUUGAUAUAGCUCGUCAGAGUCCGGUUCGAUAUCGGAAAGCUUAUCUCUACCUACCUAUUCAUAAUUCGAUUAAUAUAUUCUGUACCGCGUAAGUUAUCGAUGACUGAUGACCCACGCUGAAACUUCCAUUUCAUCUCAAUUCGUAUAUUCUAACUGUAGAAAUUACGAAACGCAAUUUACACAUGGCCUGGAUGGCAAAUCACGUAAAAUUAACAGAUACGGACUGUGUUGAAACUAGUUAGAAAAUAUUCGAAAGAGAUAAAUAUGGACUAAAGAAAAAAAAGCCACGGCUUCGAUUCUAUCGGAUAAUCGCGAUAUUGAUAAAAAAAAGUGCCGCGAACGAAAAAACAGAGAUGAAGAUAGGCGUAAUAAUAAAGGUCGCGUUCUGAGAUCCAACGACGGUAAGUACACGCGCGUUCGUUGCCAUGUGCCAAUGACAUGGUACACACGCAUGAGACACACAGGCGCAACCACGAUGAAACUUGCCGGCGCGCGGUGCUCGCGAAGAAGAAAGGAAAAGAACACAGAUGCGUAGAUGUACGCGUAGUCUAGGCAGCAGAGCAGUACUCACCUCUUUCUCUACGUUCAAUAUACUCGGCGGCCUGUAGUAGGGCAGCAAUGCUCAUAUUUCCCCGAUUUGGCGUAAUUUUGGCGACUUCGGUUCACUACCUCUUUCCCUGUAAUCCCGGCACACACACCGAUGAUCACCGCCGCGCGCGCGACACACAACGCAAUAACCGUUUAGAGACGCACACGACGAGCACCAGCCCCG
Bombus pascuorum is the source of this 911-nucleotide long non-coding RNA. RefSeq lists it as uncharacterized. NCBI's taxonomy places the organism in Eukaryota, Metazoa, Arthropoda, Insecta, Hymenoptera, Apidae. The record is from RefSeq and is a predicted model, not a curated record. The transcript has 2 exons.